Non-coding RNA from Phascolarctos cinereus (koala), 1393 nucleotides. The record is from RefSeq and is a predicted model, not a curated record. NCBI's taxonomy places the organism in Eukaryota, Metazoa, Chordata, Mammalia, Diprotodontia, Phascolarctidae.
GAAUCAUUCUUUUCUUUUGUGUCUGUAUCUCGAAUUUCCCUAUCACCACAAUAGCUUCUUAUGGUGGGAUUCUUCUUCUGCUGCUGCUUAUUCUUCCAGCCUACUCCUUGACUUUGUACUUGGUUAGUGCUGAGCAUUGGACAUUUUUGGGAGGGGUUAUCUGGUCUAAGUUUCUUACAUCUUGCUGUUUUCACAGAUCAGUCUGGGAGCCUGAAGGCUUUCAGUGCUCUCAAAGUGAUGUGAUCUGGGGUAAGGUCUGUUCACUGCUUGCCUGUCCUGUGCUUUAGAAGUUCUGACCCAGGUUUGGGUCUAUUAGUUUGCCCCAGGUUGAGAGUUUCAGUAAAUUGGUGUUGCACUCAGUUGUUUGUCCUUUGUUCUCGAAGAGGGCCAUGACAUCAAGGAGAUGAUGCCAUGACCUGUAAAUGAACUGAUUUGUGUGGGAGUGCAAAGUCACCAGCCUCAUUUUCUCCUCUACAGCCAUCUGGAUCCAGUGGCCAGAUAUGGAUCAGGACAACUGGAGAUAACCCAGGAUGCAGUGGCGGAUCUUGGCUUUUUCAUGCUAAAGUCUUUAACAGGUCUCUUUGGCUAAGGCAACACCCAUUCAGCUAAAUAAGAAAGGAGGCAGAGAACGGCCUCUUUACCUAAUCUGGCUUGGAAUCUCUGCAGGUUCAAAGCAACUGCCAGCUCCCCUUUGGUCUGUUAACUUCUGCCCUGGGUUUUCCAAUGCUGGCUUCUAUGACGGACUAAAGGUUACAGCUGGGUCACUGACCUGCUCCUGGGAUCAUAGUCACACAGUUAUUAUUCGCUUCUGAACUUGUUCCUUGUUCAGUACCCAGCUACGGCCCUGUACACUGCAACUGCCCUUCUGUACAUGGAUGCAUGCUUCAUGGCUUGUCCAGUUUCUCCACUAACAGAGCAGUUCUUGAGGAGCAGGAGUCCCUGUUUGCUGGGUCUACAGCCCUUGUGUUUACAUCCUGAAUCAUAAUGCCAUGCUUCUCAGAAUCAUCACGGAGUAGAAGAGCCCUUCAGUCCAAAUCACCUAAAAAAGGAAGACCCACUAGAACAUCAUCUGACAAGUGGUCAUCCUGCCUGCUUAAAGACCUUCAAGAAAGAGGAAUUCAACACCUCUUGAAGGAAUCCAUGACACCUUCGGACAAUUUUUUUCUCCUGACACCAAACUUUAAAUUUGCCUCAUUUUAACUUCUACCCAUUUGCUCCUGGUUCUGCUCACUGAGGCUAAUCAGAACCAGUAGAAUCCUUCCUUCCAACAAUCCUGGUUGCCCUCCUCUCCCAUUUAUGUGUCCUUAAACACUGGUACCUGAUGGCACAAUGGAAAGAAUGCUGGGCCUGGAAUCAGGAACACCUGAAUAAAAAAUCCUGCCUCAGACACUUA